This 497-nucleotide ribosomal RNA is filed under the name uncultured bacterium. RNAcentral's name for it is "partial 16S ribosomal RNA". It matches the Rfam family "Bacterial small subunit ribosomal RNA", at positions 28 to 507 of the family's 1533-position model. The record is from RNAcentral.
GAUGAACGCUGGCGGCGUGCCUAAUACAUGCAAGUCGAGCGAACGGACGAGAAGCUUGCUUCUCUGAUGUUAGCGGCGGAGGGGUGAGUAACACGUGGAUACCGUCCUUUAAAUACGGGUAAAACUUCGGAAAACCGGAGCUAAUCCCGUAUAAUAUUUUGAACCGCAGGGUUCAAAAGUAAAAGACGGCCUUGCUGUCACUACUAGCGGGUUCCCGGCUGAAUGAGUUGGUUGUUAAGUUAACGGGUUACCAAGGCAACGAUGCAUGGCCGACCGGAGGGGGGGAUCGGCCACACUAGAACGGGGACACGGUCCAGACUCCUACGGGAGGCAGCAGUAGGGAAUCUUCCGCAAUGGGCGAAAGCCUGACGGAGCAACGCCGCGUGAGUGAUGAAGGUCUUCGGAUCGUAAAACUCUGUUAUUAGGGAAGAACAUAUGUGUAAGUAACUGUGCACAUCUUGACGGUACCUAAUCAGAAAGCCACGGCUAACUACGUG